Molecule: long non-coding RNA, 290 nt
Organism: Xiphophorus hellerii (green swordtail)
Lineage: Eukaryota; Metazoa; Chordata; Actinopteri; Cyprinodontiformes; Poeciliidae
Exons: 3
Source: RefSeq, a predicted model, not a curated record
CACAAGUUACGUGACUUCCUGUGAAAAUAGAAACUGAAACCAACUCUGGUCUCCUUCAGAUCAGCCUCCAUUUUGAGCUGCAGGAUGGAAAUAACUUGCUGACUUGUUACUAGAGGCCAGAAGAUGGAAGAUCAGGACAGAGCAGAACCUCCAGGACCCAUCAGUCCAUCUAUGAGGAGUGACCUGUCCAAAGGUUAUCCUCCAGAGUUCAGUAAUGAACCUGAACCAUCAGACAGAAAGAGCUGUGAGUGUGAAGAAAGACCCAGAACAGGAGCUGAACGGCCGACAGC